This 227-nucleotide unclassified non-coding RNA is filed under the name Hevea brasiliensis (rubber tree). The record is from RNAcentral. Lineage: Eukaryota; Viridiplantae; Streptophyta; Magnoliopsida; Malpighiales; Euphorbiaceae.
AAAAAAAAUAAUAAUAAAUAAAAAUAAAAAUAAAAAUAAUAAUAAAACACACACACACACGCUAAUUCAAAAAUCCAUAUCCCAGUUUGGCUGCCAAGAAAACAAAGAGAAAGGAAGAAAACAAAGUCAGUGAACGCGUUUGAAACGACGCCGUUGCCAAAAUUCAGUUAUUUCCAAUUACCACCAAAAAAACAUAAACAAAAAGCUAUUUCGCAGAACAAUUUUCU